RNAcentral lists this ribosomal RNA (586 nucleotides) under uncultured bacterium. RNAcentral describes it as "partial 16S ribosomal RNA". It matches the Rfam family "Bacterial small subunit ribosomal RNA", at positions 355 to 1375 of the family's 1533-position model. The record is from RNAcentral.
UGGGGAAUUUUGGACAAUGGGCGAAAGCCUGAUCCAGCAAUGCCGCGUGUGUGAAGAAGGCCUUCGGGUUGUAAAGCACUUUUGUCCGGAAAGAAAUCCUUGGCUCUAAUACAGUCGGGGGAUGACGGUACCGGAAGAAUAAGCACCGGCUAACUACGUGCCAGCAGCCGCGGUAAUACGUAGGGUGCAAGCGUUAAUCGGAAUUACUGGGCGUAAAGUGUGCGCAGGCGGUUUGCUAAGACCGAUGUGAAAUCCCCGGGCUCAACCUGGGAACUGCAUUGGUGACUGGCAGGCUAGAGUAUGGCAGAGGGGGUAGAAUUCCACGUGUAGCAGUGAAAUGCGUAGAGAUGUGGAGGAAUACCGAUGGUGAAGGCAGCCCCCUGGGCCAAUACUGACGCUCAUGCACGAAAGCGUGGGGAGCAAACAGGAUUAGAUACCCUGGUAGUCCACGCCCUAAAACGAUGUCAACUAGUUGUUGGGGAUUCAUUUCCUUAGUAACGUAGCUAACGCGUGAAGUUGACCGCCUGGGGAGUACGGUCGCAAGAUUAAAAACUUAAAUGAAUUGACGGGGUCAUAGCUGUUUCCU